RNAcentral lists this ribosomal RNA (239 nucleotides) under uncultured bacterium. RNAcentral describes it as "partial 16S ribosomal RNA". It matches the Rfam family "Bacterial small subunit ribosomal RNA", at positions 335 to 566 of the family's 1533-position model. The record is from RNAcentral.
ACUCCUACGGGAGGCAGCAGUGGGGAAUAUUGCACAAUGGGCGCAAGCCUGAUGCAGCCAUGCCGCGUGUAUGAAGAAGGCCUUCGGGUUGUUAAAGUACUUUAGCAGUGAGGAGGUGGAGUCGUUAAUAGCGGCCUCAUUUGACGUUAGCUGCAGAAGAAGCACCGGCUAACUCCGUGCCAGCAGCCGCGGUAAUACGGGAGGGUGCGAGCGUUAAUCGGAAUUACUGGGCGUAAAGC